AUUUUUAAAAAUAAAGAAUCCGAGUAAACCGGAUAACCACUUUAAUUUUAAUUUUGGACGUCUGAUAAAUCAAGCUUCCUGCUUAUUCGUAACUGGACUCAUUUUGGUCAUUUUUUAGUAUGACUUUGAACUAAUGUCCAAUUUUUUAAGCGAUGUGGGACAUUGUACACAUAUUAUUUCUUCAUUGAUUGAAUAAUACAUGUCGAUUUUAAAAAUUUGAAUUACAUC
Molecule: small RNA, 228 nt
Filed under: Arabidopsis thaliana (thale cress)
Lineage: Eukaryota; Viridiplantae; Streptophyta; Magnoliopsida; Brassicales; Brassicaceae
Description: ATSL260430
Source: RNAcentral